CAGGCCUACACAUGCAAGUCUAACGGACGCAGCAAUGCGUCAGUGGCAGACGGGUGAUAACACGUGGGAACGUACCCUUCGGUUCGGAACAACCCAGGGAAACUUGGCUAAUACCGGAUACGUCCGCAAGGAGAAAGAUUUAUCGCCGAAGGAACGCCCGCGUCCGAUUAGCUUGUUGGUGAGGUAAUGGCUCACCAAGGCGACAUCGGUAGCUGGUCUAAGAGGAUGAUCAGCCUCACUGGGACUGAGACACGCCCAGACUCCUACGGGAGGCAGCAGUGGGGAAUAUUGGACAAUGGGCGAAGCCUGAUCCAGCCAUGCCGCGUGGGUGAUGAAGGCCCUAGGGUUGUAAGCCCUUUCAGCGGGGAAGAUAAUGACGGUACCCGCAGAAGAAGCCCCGCUAACUUCGUGCCAGCAGCCGCGGUAAU
RNAcentral lists this ribosomal RNA (428 nucleotides) under uncultured bacterium. RNAcentral's name for it is "bacterial SSU rRNA". It matches the Rfam family "Bacterial small subunit ribosomal RNA", at positions 43 to 524 of the family's 1533-position model. The record is from RNAcentral.